AACGAACGCUGGCGGCAUGCCUAACACAUGCAAGUCGAACGAGACCUUCGGGUCUAGUGGCGCACGGGUGCGUAACGCGUGGGAACCUGCCCUUAGGUUCGGAAUAACUCCCCGAAAGGGGUGCUAAUACCGGAUAAUGUCUUCGGACCAAAGAUUUAUCGCCUUUGGAUGGGCCCGCGUUGGAUUAGCUAGUUGGUAGGGUAAAAGCCUACCAAGGCGACGAUCCAUAGCUGGUCUGAGAGGAUGAUCAGCCACACUGGGACUGAGACACGGCCCAGACCACUACGGGAGGCAGCAGUGGGGAAUAUUGGACAAUGGGCUAAAGGCUGAACCAGUCAUGCCGCGGGGGUGAUGAAGGCAUUAGGGGAGUAAAGCGCUUUUACCCGGGGUGAUCAUGACAGUACCGGGAGAAUAAGCGACGGCUAACUCCGUG
Molecule: ribosomal RNA, 433 nt
Filed under: uncultured bacterium
Lineage: Bacteria
Description: partial 16S ribosomal RNA
Rfam family: Bacterial small subunit ribosomal RNA
Source: RNAcentral